CCAGAAUGGCGAAAUCAUCGACGCAUUGAUUUCGCCACCUGCAUGUGUAAUUUGGGUCACCGUCGCCGGAGAAUUUAUGGUUUGAAAUUGGGGUUGCAUUCCGGUGGAUUGAUGUGUUUGCGGACAAGAUAGAUGCCUGUUGGAGGGGAUCUAGGGUUUUCGUACCUGGCCCUGGUGGUGUCGCUGGUGGGUCCGGUGGUGGCCUUGGUGCUCCGCCGCAAAUGGCGGUUCUCAGUGGCGAGGAGAGAGGAAAUCAGAAGGCUUUUGGUCUUGGCUUCGGAGGAGGCAGCUAGGGCGGAGCUCGAGGCCUCCACCUAUGUCACUUCAGCCGUGGCGGCGGUGAUUUCACGGCCGUUACAAUAUCGGUGCGCCGUGUGCUUUUGCCCCACCACAACGCGCUGUGCUAGGUGCAAAGCCGUAAGAU
This 424-nucleotide long non-coding RNA is filed under the name Actinidia chinensis (golden kiwifruit). RNAcentral describes it as "long non-coding RNA (ACHI_LNC000834)". Lineage: Eukaryota; Viridiplantae; Streptophyta; Magnoliopsida; Ericales; Actinidiaceae. The record is from RNAcentral.